UACGUAGGGUGCAAGCGUUGUCCGGAAUUAUUGGGCGUAAAGAGCUCGUAGGCGGUCUGUCGCGUCGGCUGUGAAAACUCGGGGCUCAACUCCGAGCUUGCAGUCGAUACGGGCAGGCUAGAGUUCGGCAGGGGAGACUGGAAUUCCUGGUGUAGCGGUGAAAUGCGCAGAUAUCAGGAGGAACACCGGUGGCGAAGGCGGAUCUCUGGGCCAUAACUGACGCUGAGGAGCGAAAGCAUGGGGAGCGAACAGG
This 253-nucleotide ribosomal RNA is filed under the name uncultured bacterium. RNAcentral's name for it is "partial 16S ribosomal RNA". It matches the Rfam family "Bacterial small subunit ribosomal RNA", at positions 524 to 776 of the family's 1533-position model. The record is from RNAcentral.